Molecule: long non-coding RNA, 3270 nt
Filed under: Podarcis lilfordi (Lilford's wall lizard)
Lineage: Eukaryota; Metazoa; Chordata; Lepidosauria; Squamata; Lacertidae
Source: RNAcentral
AUAGGGUCUGGGUGCUCAAUGUGAGAGGAGCGGAUUUCGAGCGUGUGUGUGUGUGGAGGGGGAGGGUGGUGGUUUAUUUUCUUUAUUUUCUUUUUGCCAAGCAGGCGGGCAGGAGGCCACUUUCAUUAUUAUUAUUUCUUUUUCUUUCUUCCCUCCUCCUCCUGCCUCCUGCUCUCCGGGCCUGCAAUGAGAACUUAAGGACCGAGUGAGUGCGGACGGGGGGCGGGCGGGCGCACAGCCGCGCAUUUACGCUCGGAACAAGCGGCGAGAGGCGCCGCGAAAAGUCGAUCCCGCUGCGCUCCGCGGGUGCGAAGGGAGUCCCAUCCGGCUUGCCUGCUGCCUCUGGAAACCGGUGUGAGUCGAGCGUCUCUAUGGAUUGGCGGAGAGAUCCACUCGAGUCCUGAAUUCCAAGUCCAGGAUUCCGGAAGGUGCUGCUGACCACAUUGGAGGAGCGGCGGCGGCCGCCCGCUUACUUUGACCAAAGAAAGAGAGAGAGGGAUGGCGGUGGGACGCAGCUACCAGGACAGCUGGUGAGAAAAUGCCUUUUUGGUGUCAAUAGAUAGGGUUUUCGCUCCUUCUCAUUUCCCCCCCCCCAUCUCUCCCCCUUUUUUUACUCUGGAUCUGGGAGCAAGUACUCGGGUCCUACUGGCGAGCAGCGACGUGACCUUUCUGGGGAACCGCCUAAACUGCUCUGCCUCCAUCCAGAAAGGUACGUCGGUGUGCGCAACGCGAGUUCAUUCCCCCCUCCCCGUUUGUCCACGCGCCUCCGAAUUAAUGGAGAGAGUGAGUUCGGUUCUGUCAAUGGAGCUGCCAAUCUCCUCUGGGUCUCUGCUCUAGCAAAGGUGUCACGUCGCCCCGUCUAUGGAAGGGAUCGAGCCGAGAUGGACGGGUGGAGAGAAGGUCGGUUUGCCCCACAGGGCGGCGGGCGCAGCUUCCACUUUCCAUGCCGUUGCUGCGCUGCUCUGCUUCCUCCCUGUUGAUGGGAGCGUAGCAGGAGUGCCAACUUGGCCCCACGACCGUGGUGCCCGGGGCCGGGGGUGCUAUGCAGCGUGCAAAAUUUGUGGGUGCCAGGCCCCUUCAUGGGGAAUUUUAUGGGUGCUCAGGGCCCCAGGGAGUUGGUACCUAUGGAGCGUAGAAGGGGGCGAUAUUGUGUGUACAGUUAGAGGGGGGGGGGGGAACGGAGGCUUAUGAUCAAAGCUGACGGAGGUGGGGAGCUGUUGGAAGCAGCAAACUUUCAGCGGCUCCUUCACACUCGCUGCAUCCGGAAAGUGACAGCGGCCGGCCGGUCCAAUCCUUUUUUCCAUCACUGUGAUGGGAAAGUUGAGCAGUAAUCCGGAAAAGUGGGAGUUGGUGGGGGCAGGGAGGGAAAAAAUGUAAAACCCUGCCCGCUUUUAUGCGGGUGAAAUUAUCUUUCGCCAGGGAGAAAUGCCCGGGUCUGGUUAGAGCUUCUGCUUCCCCACCCCCCUUGCACAAAAGCCCCCUUUAUAACAACCCUGUUGUCUGCGGGGAGCGAGGUUUCCAAGAUGCUCCCGACUUCGCGACUCGCCGAAGCAGGCGCGAGUCUCUUUCCAGAGGGCGCUUCUGCUGCCUUCGCGUCUGCUCUCGGCCUCGAGGACGGGUCGGCAGCCGGGCAGGUUUAAAGGCCCGGAGCCGAGGGCGGCAGUGCAAGUACAGGGAGACGCCUGGAGAAGAAGCGACGCCAACCUCCUCCAGAGCAGAUAUGGGAGCCGACUGUCUUCACGGGACCCCCCUCUUUGCCUUCCACAAAGCGCUGGAAGCCUGCUUGGUAUGUUUGCGCGUGUUUAAAAACGACUUGCGUGCAAGCCAGCCGGCUGGAUCUUAAGCUUCAAAGUUCAGCCGUUUUGGUAUAAAAAUGUUACAAAACUGGUUGAAAUUGUGGUGGUGGUUAGCGAAUCGAGCGUUAAUUCUGGGCUCACCGCCUCAGCCCGGGGGCCGGAUCCCUAGGCGUGCUCAAAGUUGCCACUGCCUUCGUUGUUGUCCCAGGGCAGGAUUAACGCGGCGCUCCAGCACAGUCGUCCGGCUGGCGCCUGUGGGAUGGGUGCAGAGGAAGGGAGGAGAGACUUGGGUGGUUUUCACGUGUGACGCGCACAGUUACCUGGGAGUAAGACACACGCGGAACACACCCCCCCCCAGGUUUUACUUAAAAGUAACCCCGCAGGGUCGGGCUGCAUAAGCGCGCCAUUGAGCCCCGCCCCCAGCCCAAGUCACUGCUUUUUAUUUGUGUGCUCCGUGGGAAUAUUGUUCGUGUGGGACAGAAACGGCAGGUGAGAAACGAAGGCUGUGCGCUGGGGCGAGGCUUUUUAUGCUGACCCAGACCGAUUUCAGCCUCGCGUGUGAACAUGCGGUUAAAAGUCUUUUGUUUUGCUUAGUGUACCACAGGGCUGGAGAGGUUAGCAGGGCAUAAACUUGAGGGAGGAAACGUUUUCCUUGGCUCCAGACUGGGAGAGGAAAAGUCGGCUCCUCAGCCGCGCCAGCGGUCUGCGAGCCAAGGUCUCUCUCUCUCUCUCUCGCUCCCUCGUCCCAGCACGGACUGCUGAGGUGAAAGCUCACGCGCGCGCUCCGCUCCCGGGCCCGCCUUUAUUUCUCCCUCUCCCCUCCCGCCGCGUGGUGGUUUCUUUUUCUCUCCUCCCUGUGCACCAGAAGCUCCGCUAGGAGGGCGGUAGGCGUGGCCCUGAGCCUCGCGCAGCUCCUGCCAACUCUCCCUGAGGUAAAAACGCUGUGCGAAGACUGGAAGGCGGCCGCCGUCGAGGUUGUUCGGCGGGCCGGCCGGCUUCUUCUUGUGCCCGCGUAAAGCGCGCAACUGGCGGGCAAUUAAUUAAUGAGCUCGAGGCCCGCGCGUUCCUAGGGAGCCAAGGUACACACGCUCCGCUCUUCAUUUUUGGGGAGCCGAUGACUUCCCGCGGCUUCAAGCGUCCGCGCCUUCGCCGGGCCAGCAAGUGCGAGAAGAGAAGCGCUUUUCACAAGUCGCGAGUGAGUCUCGGGCCUCUCGCGCUUGGCACGCGAUAGUAGCUCGUGUGGAAGAUGUGUGCGGGUGGGGUGUGUGUGGCGGCUUUUGUACUGCGAAUGAGCAUUCUGGGCAAGCGUAGGCUUUAUAUAUCCACCUUUCAGGACCGACUAGAGCAGAGUUGCUUUCUGAAGCUUGUGGAAAGCGGGACUGCCCACCCAGCUUAGCAGUUUUUAGGCUAUCUGUUGAUUGGUGAAUCGGUUAAAUGGGCAUAAUUUGCAUAUGGUGAAAAACAGCUCUGAAGC